UUGUAAAGAGCUCCACAUAUACACUUUUUGUCUCCUUUUCUUUUGAACAAAAUGUAUUAACAAAUCAAAUAUACAAAAUUUUCCUCUGGAAAUAAUUACAAAAUCUCUCAGAUGCUUUAGCGUAGAGCUUCCAGAUAGAUCAUUCAUGUUUUCAUUGUAGGAUCUGCCCAAGAAUCACACAAUACUUGCAAUUUUGACACCUUAUUAGAUCAGAAGUGUCAUCAGAUAUAGAAAAAUAUUUUUCCUUUUAUUGAAGUGUUUUUUAUGAAUGCAGGGGAGGGGGAAAACAAAAGAAAAAUACCCAGAGUUAGUAGGCAAAACUGCAAAAUCGGUAUGCAUGUCCUAUGGGGGAACCCUUUUUGUGCCAAGGGUAGGCCUAGCAUGAAAAUGCAAUCCGCUAGAGUAGGCACUAUACCAUACCUGAUGGAUCUG
Molecule: long non-coding RNA, 432 nt
Filed under: Coffea arabica (coffee)
Lineage: Eukaryota; Viridiplantae; Streptophyta; Magnoliopsida; Gentianales; Rubiaceae
Description: long non-coding RNA (CARA_LNC008146)
Source: RNAcentral